ACUCAAACUCUCACAUGAUUUCUAUUCAGCACUGUCUACAGUUAAAAAUAGUCUCUGUCACAACUGUUUGGGAUGGCCCAAACCCUGUGGGAGGAUCAUGACAACCAGUAAGACAAGCUGUUAAACUCUCUUUGUAGAAGCAUUCAAUGCCCUGUCGGACAGAAUGGAAUUUCUCUUUGUCACUUUACUUUUACUUCUGACAAUAAUAUAUCCAUCCAGUGGUGUUGUCAACAUUGUUCAGGAACCCAAAAUGUCAUUUGUCAACCUGAAUUCGUCUGUGACAUUGAAAUGUGACCACGAUAACACUGACCACUACAGGAUGUCCUGGUACAGACAAACAGGAGAAAAACAGGAUCUGGAGUUACUGGCAUUUUCUAUGGGUCAAAAUAGUGUAAACAUUGAGCCACCGUUUGAUAAAACGGACAAAUAUAAAUUCACCCGACCUGAAGUGAAGAAGGGCAUGCUGCAGAUUAAGAAUAUGGAAGCUAGAGACUCUGCUAUAUACUUCUGUGCUACAAGUAUGACACAGUAACUCAGAGCAGUCUAACAGUUAGUCAUUAACCUCAGCAGCUCCCCUGGAGCAGUGCAAUGAGGAGGUGAAGCACAUCUGGACUUGUGGUUGGUACUUUCCAGGUGCCCCUGAGGAGAACACUAACCAGGAGAACUGAGAUGUGAAGGCGAAACAGCACUGAUAUAAAUAAAGAACAUUUCAGUAACACUACUACACAAUAGUGACAUAACCAUGUCAUAAGCAUGCCAUAGCAGUCCUUCAUAAAGCUAUUGGGAGUGUUUUGGUUAGUCUGUUUUCUUAGACUGACUAAGAACUCUGACCGUAGCCAGAACUUUUUCAAUAGAGUGGUCAGGUUGGACCCAGAAAUUUUACUGGGGGCAGCAAACUGCUAGGUGUGUGUUAACGUUAUUAGAAAAUAAAAUUUGUCAGGGUAACAAGCUAAGUGACAUAAGCUGUCAUGACUUCAAACAUUAUGACAUCUCUCAUGGCAAUUAUCAGUAACGGUAACAUGACACGGUUAUGUAACUGGGAAAAAAAAGUAUCCAAGACAAAUCAUGGCAGUAUGCCAAUGUUACGUAGGAGGGUUCAGGUAGAUAUUACCAAUUUUUGGCUUUGGGUGGUGUGUGAAAGUGUUCACAAUUACUGUUCUCACGAUUACGAUUUUGAUUGACUUGAAAGAGACGUACAAUGCAGACACAAUACAAACUUGCCCACAAUAAAACUGAGUUUAUAUAUUGGUUUUGUUUAUUGUUAAUUUAUUCAUUAUUUUUAUUGUUUAUUAUGUGCCAUUGUUUGAGUUUCAAGAGCCUUUGAUGCUACUAACAAGAACUUGAUGCAUCCCUGGACCCAUUCAUUCUGGAUAAUUAGUGAUCCUGAAGUGUAUGCUGACCUCAGUGUAGAGCAGAUCACACAUUUCUGUGAUAGUCUGUCUAGCUGAUUUCUUAAAACACAAGUAAAAGCUCAUGUCUUCAAAUAGACACAUAGACUCUUUCUCCCUCCUGUCACUGACCCUUCACUCAUU
Molecule: long non-coding RNA, 1532 nt
Organism: Pygocentrus nattereri (red-bellied piranha)
Lineage: Eukaryota; Metazoa; Chordata; Actinopteri; Characiformes; Serrasalmidae
Source: Ensembl